This 240-nucleotide unclassified non-coding RNA is filed under the name soil metagenome. RNAcentral's name for it is "partial contains 5.8S ribosomal RNA, internal transcribed spacer 2, and large subunit ribosomal RNA". The record is from RNAcentral.
AACCAUUCUCACCUGCGGCUAGACCUGCGGAAGGAUCAUUACCGAGUGUAGGCCCCCCGUAAAAAAGGGGACCAACCUCCCGUCCUUUUGCACAGGGCACCCCCCUCUUUUUAGGGGGGUUGCUUUUCGGACCUUCUGCUUCGGCGGGGUAAGACCCGCCGGAACACCUUCAAAAAUAUUCUUGUAACCGCUCCGUCCGAGGGUUUGAAAAAUAGAGCGAAAAACUUUCAACAAUGGAUC